This 455-nucleotide ribosomal RNA is filed under the name uncultured organism. Its description in RNAcentral is "bacterial SSU rRNA". It matches the Rfam family "Bacterial small subunit ribosomal RNA", at positions 346 to 794 of the family's 1533-position model. The record is from RNAcentral.
GUGCAGCAGGCGAGAAUUUUUCUCAAUGGGGAAACCCUGAAGGAGCGACGCCGCGUGGAGGAUGAAGGCUUUCGGGUUGUAAACUCCUGUCAUUUGAGAACAAGUUGAACGCAGUAACUACGCGUUCAUUGAUAGUAUCAGAAGAGGAAGGGACGGCUAACUCUGUGCCAGCAGCCGCGGUAAUACAGAGGUCCCAAGCGUUGUUCGGAUUCAUUGGGCGUAAAAGGGUGCGUAGGUGGCGCCGUAAGUGGGGUGUGAAAUUUCGGAGCUUAACUCCGAAACUGCAUUCCAUACUGCGGUGCUUGAGGACUGGAGAGGAGACUGGAAUUUACGGUGUAGCAGUGAAAUGCGUAGAGAUCGUAAGGAAGACCAGUGGCGAAGGCGGGUCUCUGGACAGUUCCUGACACUGAGGCACGAAGGCCAGGGGAGCAAACGGGAUUAGAUACCCCCGUAGU